AGGGGCGUAGCUCAAUGGUAGAGCUCUAGUUUUGGGAAUUAGUGAUGAAGGUUCGAUUCCUUCCGACCCGA
RNAcentral lists this transfer RNA (71 nucleotides) under Synchytrium endobioticum. Its description in RNAcentral is "tRNA-Pro". It matches the Rfam family "tRNA". From Rfam's summary of the family: Transfer RNA (tRNA) molecules are approximately 80 nucleotides in length. Their secondary structure includes four short double-helical elements and three loops (D, anti-codon, and T loops). The record is from RNAcentral. Lineage: Eukaryota; Fungi; Chytridiomycota; Chytridiomycetes; Synchytriales; Synchytriaceae.